UAACAAGGUCUCCGUAGGUGAACCUGCGGAGGGAUCAUUACAAGUGACCCCGGUUUACCACCGGGAUGUUCAUAACCCUUUGUUGUCCGACUCUGUUGCCUCCGGGGCGACCCUGCCUUCGGGCGGGGGCUCCGGGUGGACACUUCAAACUCUUGCGUAACUUUGCAGUCUGAGUAAAUUUAAUUAAUAAAUUAAAACUUUCAACAACGGAUCUCUUGGUUCUGGCAUCGAUGAAGAACGCAGCGAAAUGCGAUAAGUAAUGUGAAUUGCAGAAAUUCAGUGAAUCAUCGAAUCUUUGAACGCACAUUGCGCCCCCUGGUAUUCCGGGGGGCAUGCCUGUUCGAGCGUCAUUUCACCACUCAAGCCUCGCUUGGUAUUGGGCAACGCGGUCCGCCGCGUGCCUCAAAUCGACCGGCUGGGUCUUCUGUCCCCUAAGCGUUGUGGAAACUAUUCGCUAAAGGUGGUUCGGGAGGCUACGCCGUAAAACAACCCCAUUUCUAAGGUUGACCUCGGAUCAGGUAGGGAUACCCGCUGAACUUAAGCAUAUCAAUAAGCGGAGGAAAAGAAACCAACAGGGAUUGCUCUAGUAACGGCGAGUGAAGCAGCAAUAGCUCAAAUUUGAAAUCUGGCGUCUUCGGCGUCCGAGUUGUAAUUUGUAGAGGAUGCUUCUGAGUAGCCACCGACCUAAGUUCCUUGGAACAGGACGUCAUAGAGGGUGAGAAUCCCGUAUGCGGUCGGAAAGGCGCUCUACACGUAGCUCCUUCGACGAGUCGAGUUGUUUGGGAAUGCAGCUCUAAAUGGGAGGUAAAUUUCUUCUAAAGCUAAAUAUUGGACCAGAGACCGAUAGCGCACAAGUAGAGUGAUCGAAAGAUGAAAAGCACUUUGGAAA
This 889-nucleotide ribosomal RNA is filed under the name Cladophialophora bantiana. RNAcentral describes it as "eukaryotic LSU rRNA". The stretch from base 505 to 889 matches the Rfam family "Eukaryotic large subunit ribosomal RNA", at positions 1 to 382 of the family's 3401-position model. Lineage: Eukaryota; Fungi; Ascomycota; Eurotiomycetes; Chaetothyriales; Herpotrichiellaceae. The record is from RNAcentral.